AACCGGAGGAAGGUGGGGAUGACGUCAAGUCAUCAUGGCCCUUACGGCCAGGGCUACACACGUGUUACAAUGGUCGGUACAGAGGGUUGCCAAGCCGCGAGGUGGAGCUAAUCCCAUAAAACCGAUCGUAGUCCGGAUCGCAGUCUGCAACUCGACUGCGUGAAGUCGGAAUCGCUAGUAAUCGUGAAUCAGAAUGUCACGGUGAAUACGUUCCCGGGCCUUGUACACACCGCCCGUCACACCAUGGGAGUGGGUUGCUCCAGAAGUAGCUAGUCUAACCGCAAGGGGGACGGUUACCACGGAGUGAUUCAUGACUGGGGUGAAGUCGUAACAAGGUAGCCGUAGGGGAACCUGCGGCUGGAUCACCUCUUUAAGGUGAAUCCCGGGAAUCGAAUUCUUUUUUGCAG
Molecule: ribosomal RNA, 407 nt
Filed under: uncultured Pseudomonas sp.
Lineage: Bacteria; Pseudomonadati; Pseudomonadota; Gammaproteobacteria; Pseudomonadales; Pseudomonadaceae
Description: bacterial SSU rRNA
Rfam family: Bacterial small subunit ribosomal RNA
Source: RNAcentral